This 253-nucleotide ribosomal RNA is filed under the name uncultured bacterium. Its description in RNAcentral is "partial 16S ribosomal RNA". It matches the Rfam family "Bacterial small subunit ribosomal RNA", at positions 524 to 776 of the family's 1533-position model. The record is from RNAcentral.
UACGUAGGGGGCGAGCGUUGUCCGGAAUUAUUGGGCGUAAAGAGCGUGUAGGCGGCCCGAUUAGUCCGCUGUAAAAGUCCAGGGCUCAACCCUGGAAAGCCGGUGGAUACUGUCGGGCUAGAGUCCGGAAGAGGCGAGUGGAAUUCCUGGUGUAGCGGUGAAAUGCGCAGAUAUCAGGAGGAACACCGAUGGCGAAGGCAGGUCUCUGGGCCAUAACUGACGCUGAGAAGCGAAAGCAUGGGGAGCGAACAGG